RNAcentral lists this ribosomal RNA (366 nucleotides) under uncultured bacterium. RNAcentral describes it as "partial 16S ribosomal RNA". It matches the Rfam family "Bacterial small subunit ribosomal RNA", at positions 338 to 701 of the family's 1533-position model. The record is from RNAcentral.
CCUACGGGAGGCAGCAGUGAGGAAUAUUGGGCAAUGGACGAGAGUCUGAACCAGCCAAGUAGCGUGAAGGAUGACUGCCCGAGGGGAUGUAAACUUCUUUUAUAGGGGAAUAAAAUGUGCCACGUGUGGGAUUUUGUAUGUACCAUAUGAAUAAGGAUCGGCUAACUCCGUGCCAGCAGCCGCGGUAAUACGGAGGAUCCGAGCGUUAUCCGGAUUUAUUGGGUUUAAAGGGAGCGUAGGUGGAUUGUUAAGUCAGUUGUGAAAGUUUGCGGCUCAACCGUAAAAUUGCAGUUGAAACUGGCAGUCUUGCGUACAGUAGAGGUGGGCGGAAUUCGUGUUGUCGCGGUUAACUGCUUAGAUCUCACG